AGACAGGCUUGAGGUCCAUUGAUCUUUCUUUGGGAGAAGCUACCAGAGAGAAAAAAAAUUCCCAUAAGUGAUGCGACAGUGCCUUAGGAGGCCUGAUUGUCCUGAGUUGGGGAGAGCAGGAACUUGACUGCCUGCCCAACCAACCUGGCCCAGCCUGGCCUCCCCAGCUACUUCCCCCAUCCACGAUGGUCGAGCCUCCAGGAAGCUGCAGAUUGGUCUGUGUGUGGUUUAAAAACAUACGCCCUGGCUUUGACCAGCUCCUGGCAGGACAAACGUCUGGAGUCUGGAUUUGGGGCCUCUGGCAGAGCUGCGGUGGAGGCAGGAAGGCACAAAGAGCCUGUAAAACGCCUUCUGUACUGAAGUUCCGGAUCUUGCUUCGGGGAAGGGCCUCUUUGCUCUCUCACUGCCCAGCAGUCCAGACAGCAGAGCCUCGGGCGCCUCUGGGAAAACAAGGAGCCCAGAGGCCCUGAAAAAGAUUUUCACAACAGUAUCAUCCCUUUGAAAAAAAAGAAACUUCAAUGUUGAGAGUAGUUUGAUUCUCACCACUUGCAAGGAAGAUGGGGAAGAAGCAGAGGCACCUCAAGACAUCAGAGCCUAUCCCAGUCCCGCAGCUACUGGUCACCAUCCCGGAUUCUGCAGGUGGCCUGGUUAUUGCAAUCUUCAGGUGACCCUGUGGCCCCCUGUCCCUUGCUCCUGAAACUCCUAAAGCGAAGACCUAAAUCCAGAGAUACUUACAUUCUUUACUGAGUUGAGAAAAGAGGAUUUGGAAUACAAGUUCGUAAAUCUUCCAGAGCUGUAUGUUUCAGCCCCAAAUGCCUCUUUGAAUGUGCAGAUUUGCUAAUUAAAAG
This 848-nucleotide long non-coding RNA is filed under the name Sus scrofa (pig). RNAcentral's name for it is "lncRNA (ENSSSCG00035009433.1)". Lineage: Eukaryota; Metazoa; Chordata; Mammalia; Artiodactyla; Suidae. The record is from RNAcentral.